RNAcentral lists this ribosomal RNA (468 nucleotides) under uncultured bacterium. RNAcentral describes it as "partial 16S ribosomal RNA". It matches the Rfam family "Bacterial small subunit ribosomal RNA", at positions 28 to 507 of the family's 1533-position model. The record is from RNAcentral.
GACGAACGCUGGCGGCGUGCUUAACACAUGCAAGUCGAACGGAAAGGCCCUGCUUUUGUGGGGUGCUCGAGUGGCGAACGGGUGAGUAACACGUGAGUAACCUGCCCUUGACUUUGGGAUAACUUCAGGAAACUGGGGCUAAUACCGGAUAGGAGCUCCUGCUGCAUGGUGGGGGUUGGAAAGUUUCGGCGGUUGGGGAUGGACUCGCGGCUUAUCAGCUUGUUGGUGGGGUAGUGGCUUACCAAGGCUUUGACGGGUAGCCGGCCUGAGAGGGUGACCGGCCACAUUGGGACUGAGAUACGGCCCAGACUCCUACGGGAGGCAGCAGUGGGGAAUAUUGCACAAUGGGCGGAAGCCUGAUACGGCAACGCCGGGUGCGGGAUGACGGCCUUCGGGUUGUAAACCGCUUUCGCCUGUGACGAAGCGUGAGUGACGGUAAUGGGUAAAGAAGCACCGGCUAACUACGUG